ACUGUCCCACAAAAUCUGGGACUGUCCCAGCCAAACCUGGAAGCAUAGUUGCUGUAAUUAAGGGCCACAUGAGUUCAAGUGUGUUGAGCCACAAAAAGCAGGAGCAUACGUGCAUGUGCACGCUGCAAGAGAUUAAACAAAAUAUAGGGUAUGACUGUGUUUCACGCUGACCUCAGGCUGACGAGAAACAACCUGCCAGUUUAUAUACAACUUAGUAAGUAUCUAACCCUUCAUUCCCAUGUGGCCAUCUCCAUUUCAGCAGCACUCAGCCAGCUGGCUGGAGGCACGCAUGAGUUCUGAUUCACCUCUGACUAGCAGAGAAUGUGGUUCUGAAAGAGGCAUCUGAAAUCCACACUUUCCUAACAGCUUGGAGAUUAAUGGAAGUUGGCACCAAACCACUGUCCAGGGCAGUAAGUGCAUUAAAGACCACCUACCACAAAGCUAAGAAUGAUAACUACACGUCCAGCAAGGUCCUGUCUACCUGCUGUUGUUGCAAAUAUUUUGGAAGCCCUGGGUAUGGAGUUCCACAGUUCUGUCUGGCACGCUUCUAGAUGAGAGGCAGAGGGGAGGGCCAACAGCACCAGAAGAGACCUCAGUGGCAGGAGGAGAGAGAGAAUUGGGAGCAAACCUCAGAACAAGUUCAGAGUGAACCUGUGGCCAGAUAGACCUCAAAAAUGUUCUGGGGCUCGAUUCUGAGAACCUCUUGGAAGAGGAGCUUGUGAUCCAUCUUGGGAGGAAGCAAGACGAAAGCAGGAGCUGGAGAUGCAUUCAGAACUGUCUGCUUCUAUUGAACUGAGGCAGCUGUAUUAGCCUCUUCAUGAGAGGACCCUGAAACAGUGCAGCAGAAGGGAAGAGCUCAGGGAUGAUCUCUUGUCUGAACUGCAGAUUGGCUCUGGGCACAUGUGAGAUGAGCACCUGGAAUACCAAAGAGGAACAGGGUAUGGAGUGGGGGAAAAAACGGAAAGAGAAAAGGAAGCUCAAGGUGCGGCAUGACCGUGCUUGAUGAUGAUGGAGCAAGAACAAGUGCAGCAGGAAGACUUCUUGAGCAGCAGUUUGCACUGUUGGUGCUCAGCUCCAGCCUCCAAUCUGGCACCGCUGUCAGUGCCUGCAGAUUCUCCUCCAUGUGCCUGUCUUGCUGCUGCCUGUGUAGUUACUUGGCAAUUCAUGCAUUGAGUGGGCUGUAAAACGCUCCUAAUUCUUCUCCCUUGCUAUCUGGGGUAAGGAGAACAAAAACAUUUCUGAUAUCCAGUUCUGCUACCAGUGAGAUUGCACUGCUUACACACUAUUUUACCAGCUCAGUUUUGCACGUGUUUAUACUCUUCAGAUAUUUGUUUAUUGGCAGCUGUGACACCUGUAGUGCUUUUCCAAACACUGCUUUACUACUUGUUAAUAAAUUGGUUCUGUUGUAU
Gavialis gangeticus (Gharial) is the source of this 1409-nucleotide long non-coding RNA. RefSeq lists it as uncharacterized. The record is from RefSeq and is a predicted model, not a curated record. The transcript has 2 exons. NCBI's taxonomy places the organism in Eukaryota, Metazoa, Chordata, Crocodylia, Gavialidae.